This 254-nucleotide ribosomal RNA is filed under the name uncultured bacterium. RNAcentral's name for it is "partial 16S ribosomal RNA". It matches the Rfam family "Bacterial small subunit ribosomal RNA", at positions 524 to 776 of the family's 1533-position model. The record is from RNAcentral.
UACGGGGGGAGCAAGCGUUGUUCGGAUUUACUGGGCGUAAAGGGCGCGUAGGCGGCCUCUGCAAGUCGACUGUGAAAUCUCCGGGCUUAACCCGGAACGGUCAGCCGAUACUGCAGGGCUAGAGCGCAGAAGGGGCAACUGGAAUUCUCGGUGUAGCGGUGAAAUGCGUAGAUAUCGAGAGGAACACCUGCGGCGAAGGCGGGUUGCUGGGCUGACACUGACGCUGAUGCGCGAAAGCUAGGGGAGCGAACGGG